This is a non-coding RNA of Phoenix dactylifera (date palm), 140 nucleotides long. The record is from RefSeq and is a predicted model, not a curated record. NCBI's taxonomy places the organism in Eukaryota, Viridiplantae, Streptophyta, Magnoliopsida, Arecales, Arecaceae.
UCUUCAACGACCGACCGGCGGCUCUUCGCGUCCUUCUCCCCCGGACGGCAACCUACGCGGCUCCGGUCACCGACUCACAGUCACCGGUUUUGAGAGUUAGAAGAUGCAAGGAUGUUCUUCUACAGUUUUCUAUUAUGGAA